This 725-nucleotide long non-coding RNA is filed under the name Cyanistes caeruleus (blue tit). Its description in RNAcentral is "lncRNA (ENSCCEG00000001809.1)". The record is from RNAcentral. Lineage: Eukaryota; Metazoa; Chordata; Aves; Passeriformes; Paridae.
UCUUUUUUGUUUUUCCCGGGAAAAUAAAAAAAUUCCCAAAAUUCCUAUAAAUCUUGUACGUACGCCCCUCCCCCACCCUGUAAAUAGCCCCUCCCCCCUCCGGCCGACAAUCGGGGGCGGCACCCCCAAAAUCCCGGGAUUUCACCCCAAAAAAUGCCGGGAUUUCCCCAAAAAAAUCCUGGGAAUUCAUCCCAAAAAAAAAUCUGGGAUUUCCCAAUAAAAUCCUGGGAUUUCACCCAAAAAUUCUGGGAUUUCACCCAAAAUUCCAGGAUUUCCCCCCCAAUUCCAGGAUUUCUCCCCAAAUCCCGGGAUUUCCCCUCUAUAAAUAUUAUAAAUACAGAGAUGGAAACUUGGAAGAAUUCCCGAAUCUUGGAUUCCUUUUUUUGGGGAUUUGGGGGAUUUUUUAUGGGAUUUGGGAUUUUUUUUAUGGAAUUCUGGGUGGUUUUUAUGGGAUUUGGGGGAAAUUUUGGGGAUUUGGGGGAAUUUUUUGGGAUUUGGGGGAAUUUUUUUGGGAUUUGGGGGAAUUUUGGGGUUUGGGGUGGGAUUUUUUGGGGGAUUUGGGGAAUUUUUUGGGAUUUGGGGUGGAAUUUUGGGGGAAUUUUUGGGAUUUGGGGUGGGAUUUUUUGGGAUUUGGGGGAAUUUUUAUGGGAUUUGGGGGAAUUUUUUGGGAUUUGGGGGAAUUUUUUGGGGGAUUUGGGAGAAUUUUUGGGGAUUUGGGGGAAUUU